Pseudomonas putida is the source of this 380-nucleotide non-coding RNA. Lineage: Bacteria; Pseudomonadati; Pseudomonadota; Gammaproteobacteria; Pseudomonadales; Pseudomonadaceae. The record is from Rfam.
CCGCCCAAUGCGCCGCCGAUACCGGCUUCGGUGGAGCCACCUGCCGAGGCAACGCCACUGAGCAGGCCGAGAGACAACAGCAGAAUCGAGGAGUACUUCAUAAGGGAGCCUCAAAGGGAUGACGAGGCGAUCCUGAGGCUCUGCAACACGCGCUGGCAACGCAAAUCCGACGAUUGGCACGACGUGUAUACAAUUUUAUAAGUUACUGUUUUUACAGUGAAACUUAAUGCGUUUUUGCGGGUCUGAGCUUACUUGGGACGAAGGCCCUGGCAGUGAUGCCAGGGCCUUUUUCUUGCCUGCAGUUAUGCGCUGAACGAACUGCUGGCAAGCCAGCUCCCACAGCGUUCUGCAUGCGCCGCAAGACCCUGUGGGAGCCGGCG